UGCAAUGUGCUAUGAUUAAUGCAGUGAU
Molecule: non-coding RNA, 28 nt
Filed under: Homo sapiens (human)
Lineage: Eukaryota; Metazoa; Chordata; Mammalia; Primates; Hominidae
Source: RNAcentral